AACGAACGCUGGCGGCAUGCCUAACACAUGCAAGUCGAACGAGACCUUCGGGUCUAGUGGCGCACGGGUGCGUAACGCGUGGGAACCUGCCUUUAGGUUCGGAAUAACUCAGAGAAAUUUGAGCUAAUACCGGAUAAUGUCUUCGGACCAAAGAUUUAUCGCCUUUAGAUGGGCCCGCGUAAGAUUAGCUAGUUGGUGGGGUAAAAGGCCUACCAAGGCGACGAUCUUUAGCUGGUCUGAGAGGAUGAUCAGCCACACUGGGACUGAGACACGGCCCAGACUCCUACGGGAGGCAGCAGUGGGGAA
Molecule: ribosomal RNA, 306 nt
Filed under: uncultured bacterium
Lineage: Bacteria
Description: bacterial SSU rRNA
Rfam family: Bacterial small subunit ribosomal RNA
Source: RNAcentral